UACAGAGGUCCCGAGCGUUGUUCGGAUUUAUUGGGCGUAAAGGGUGCGUAGGCGGCGGAGUAAGUUGGGUGUGAAAUCCCGGGGCUCAACCUCGGAAUUGCAUUCAAUACUGCUCCGCUAGAGUACUGGAGAGGAGGCUGGAAUUUACGGUGUAGCAGUGAAAUGCGUAGAUAUCGUAAGGAAGGCCGGUGGCGAAAGCGGCGCGCUGGACCACUACUGACGCUGAGGAACGAAAGCUAGGGGAGCAAACAGG
Molecule: ribosomal RNA, 253 nt
Filed under: uncultured bacterium
Lineage: Bacteria
Description: partial 16S ribosomal RNA
Rfam family: Bacterial small subunit ribosomal RNA
Source: RNAcentral